Molecule: transfer RNA, 74 nt
Filed under: Gammaproteobacteria bacterium
Lineage: Bacteria; Pseudomonadati; Pseudomonadota; Gammaproteobacteria
Description: tRNA-Lys
Rfam family: tRNA
About the family: Transfer RNA (tRNA) molecules are approximately 80 nucleotides in length. Their secondary structure includes four short double-helical elements and three loops (D, anti-codon, and T loops). Further hydrogen bonds mediate the characteristic L-shaped molecular structure. tRNAs have two regions of fundamental functional importance: the anti-codon, which is responsible for specific mRNA codon recognition, and the 3' end, to which the tRNAs corresponding amino acid is attached (by aminoacyl-tRNA synthetases). tRNAs cope with the degeneracy of the genetic code in two manners: having more than one tRNA (with a specific anti-codon) for a particular amino acid; and 'wobble' base-pairing, i.e. permitting non-standard base-pairing at the 3rd anti-codon position.
Source: RNAcentral
GGGCCGUUAGCUCAGUUUGGUAGAGCGGCUGACUCUUAAUCAGCGGGUCGUAGGUUCGAGCCCUACACGGCCCA